This 322-nucleotide ribosomal RNA is filed under the name uncultured eukaryote. Its description in RNAcentral is "partial 18S ribosomal RNA". It matches the Rfam family "Eukaryotic small subunit ribosomal RNA", at positions 1470 to 1796 of the family's 1831-position model. The record is from RNAcentral.
CCCUUAGAUGUUCUGGGCCGCACGCGUGCUACACUGAGUGGAUCAGCGGGUCAGGUUGCGCGAAAGCGUUUCCUAAUCUUUAAAUCCGCUCGUGAUGGGGAUUGACGGUUGCAAUUUUCUGUCAUGAACGAGGAAUACCGUGUAAGCGCGGGUCAUCAUCCCGCGCUGAAUACGUCCCUGCCCUUUGUACACACCGCCCGUCGCUCCUACCGAUUGAGUGGUCCGGUGAGGCUUUGGGAUCUGAGCGGAAAGAGCGUUUCGCUGUUUCUGCUCGGAAAACUCAGUCGAACCUUAUCAUUUAGAGGAAGGAGAAGUCGUAACA